GUAAACAUAUUUAGAAUAUAUAUUGGAUGCGCCAAUUAUCCCAUAAAACCCUCAACAACGCGUGAAAAUGUGCAAAUUCUCAAUACAGUUGAAGUUCAUGUGACACUUAUCGAAGAUAAUGAACUUUCCUACCAUCAGGCUCCAAGCUUUGCUUUGCUUUUGGCAUUACCGCUCGGGUCGCCUUCUUCUCCGUAUCACCCUUUCCUGCACACAUAGGAUUCCAUUCAUUUUUCUCCGCAUCGCAAAAGUUAAAAUAUAUGCAAUUGAGUGUCAAUGGAAUGUCUGAAUAUUCUCCAUAUCUCCGAGUCAGCUGAGUGUCGUGAUUAAUAAACUCAUCUAAGCUCACUUGUCAUAAGCGGACGGAGCUAGAAUACUCAAUUGUUUUCUUUCAAAUCUGAACAACCAAACCAAGUUGUAAAGUGUCAGCUUGAAUUAAAAUUANAAGUUGCUUACGAAUUUUGACACCCUCUUGUAUCUUGAUUGAUUGAAGAUUUGUGGUGGCAGUAAUUCAUUAUAUUAUAUCAAAGAUGACUGAUCUACGGAACAUAAUGCAGAACUUUCCGUAAUUAUAACCAUAAACUACCGUACAACCUUAGCAAAAGAACAUGGUCGUACAUCAGUCAAGAGUACAUAC
RNAcentral lists this long non-coding RNA (634 nucleotides) under Hordeum vulgare. RNAcentral's name for it is "long non-coding RNA (HVUL_LNC015581)". The record is from RNAcentral. Lineage: Eukaryota; Viridiplantae; Streptophyta; Magnoliopsida; Poales; Poaceae.